Molecule: transfer RNA, 103 nt
Filed under: Wolfiporia cocos MD-104 SS10
Lineage: Eukaryota; Fungi; Basidiomycota; Agaricomycetes; Polyporales; Phaeolaceae
Description: tRNA-Arg
Rfam family: tRNA
About the family: Transfer RNA (tRNA) molecules are approximately 80 nucleotides in length. Their secondary structure includes four short double-helical elements and three loops (D, anti-codon, and T loops). Further hydrogen bonds mediate the characteristic L-shaped molecular structure. tRNAs have two regions of fundamental functional importance: the anti-codon, which is responsible for specific mRNA codon recognition, and the 3' end, to which the tRNAs corresponding amino acid is attached (by aminoacyl-tRNA synthetases). tRNAs cope with the degeneracy of the genetic code in two manners: having more than one tRNA (with a specific anti-codon) for a particular amino acid; and 'wobble' base-pairing, i.e. permitting non-standard base-pairing at the 3rd anti-codon position.
Source: RNAcentral
GGCCGCCUGGCGAAAUGGCAUCGCGUCUGACUACGAUGACUCACAGGGGUCUAACCUCGAGUUUCAAAUCAGGAGAUUGCAGGUUCGACCCCUGCGGUGGUCA